UUAAAUACCCCUCUGGAGGUUGCUGAGGGUUAUUGGGUACUGAGUGAAGGUGCUAGCAGCUUCUGGGGGUUCACUACUUGUAGAGGGGGGCUUCUGAACUUGUUGUAUUAUUGUAUUCCCCUCUUUUGUGAGCUGCUGAAAGGAUGGUGUGAUGUUCCUGGACUGUUUUUCUAGGGGCACCAGUGAUGUUUUGGAGAUAAGGAGGACUGGAGGCUAUGCUUCUUAGCACAGCUGUGUUGCUGGUGGAAGUGAGAAGCAUUCCAUGGGGCUGCUUAUAAAAAAAGAAGGUGUUUAAGUUGCUUUAUAUGUGAUCUUAUGCUGUUUUCUUGUUUUCUAUUACAGAGCGAAGUCUGCAAUGAGGUGUUGCACAGUGAGAAUUAGCCCAAGCCCAUUUCUUGUGGGAGCUGUCAAAGAUUUGUUUAGCAGCCACCAGGGCGUCCACAGCAUUAAACAUCUUAUCGUUUGACACCAGAGAUGGACAGGAGGGGUUAGGGUCUGUGCACCACGUGACAUCCUGUUUCAGUGCUGGUAAGUAUUCCUCUUAGCCGUGGUCAUGCCCCAGCGGGAGGCUGCUGCCAGAAAUACUGAGGAGGCCCAAAGGUCCCAUGCUCUCAGAAAAGGGAGGCAGUGACCAAG
This 636-nucleotide long non-coding RNA is filed under the name Coturnix japonica (Japanese quail). Its description in RNAcentral is "lncRNA (ENSCJPG00005000977.1)". The record is from RNAcentral. Lineage: Eukaryota; Metazoa; Chordata; Aves; Galliformes; Phasianidae.